RNAcentral lists this long non-coding RNA (263 nucleotides) under Neodiprion lecontei (redheaded pine sawfly). RNAcentral's name for it is "uncharacterized LOC124295478". Lineage: Eukaryota; Metazoa; Arthropoda; Insecta; Hymenoptera; Diprionidae. The record is from RNAcentral.
GAUUGUAGUUAACGACCUCGGCUUUAUUCUCUCAGCAUUAUUUUCAAGGACAAGAAUGUUUCCCUGAAGGAAUGAGUUUGACUCGGCUAAUUUAAUCUUUUUUUUUCACGUAUGCUAAUUUCCGAAGAGGGCGCCCCCCGGAAGGUCCGAAACACUAAACGAGACUUGUUCUUGAUUUGACUUCAGACACCGAAAAAAAAAACACUCACUAUAUUGUGACUUUCUCUAUACGCGGAACAAUGCGUGCGCCUAACUCAAGCAAC